UGGGGAAUUUUGGACAAUGGGGGAAACCCUGAUCCAGCCAUCCCGCGUGUUCGAUGAAGGCCUUCGGGUUGUAAAGCACUUUUGGCAGGAAAGAAACGUCAUGGGUUAAUACCCCGUGAAACUGACGGUACCUGCAGAAUAAGCACCGGCUAACUACGUGCCAGCAGCCGCGGUAAUACGUAGGGUGCAAGCGUUAAUCGGAAUUACUGGGCGUAAAGCGUGCGCAGGCGGUUCGGAAAGAAAGAUGUGAAAUCCCAGAGCUCAACUUUGGAACUGCAUUUUUAACUACCGGGCUAGAGUGUGUCAGAGGGAGGUGGAAUUCCGCGUGUAGCAGUGAAAUGCGUAGAUAUGCGGAGGAACACCGAUGGCGAAGGCAGCCUCCUGGGAUAACACUGACGCUCAUGAACGAAAGCGUGGGGAGCAAACAGG
Molecule: ribosomal RNA, 429 nt
Filed under: Acidobacteriota bacterium
Lineage: Bacteria; Pseudomonadati; Acidobacteriota
Description: Acidobacteria bacterium partial 16S ribosomal RNA
Rfam family: Bacterial small subunit ribosomal RNA
Source: RNAcentral